UGAGUUUCUGUUUCUGUUCUGAAGCCUUUUGACAGCAAUCAAAACACAAGCUACUGGACUCCAAAUGACUUGAAAAUUGACAGGAAGCUGCACAAACAUACCAGGUUCAAAACACUAGCACUGAACUAAGUCCAGUUCUCAACAUACUGACCUGCACAACCUUAUCUACAGGGGAAGAAAAUGUUUUCAGCAUUCCAGACUUAGUGAAAUUUUCAGAGUUCAAAAUUCUGGAAUUUUUCCAGCCACAUGCCCACUUUGUCUAGGCAUAGUUUGCACACACAAGUUCCCAAGAGGUGUUUGACACCACUAUGGUAUUGAGCACAAACCCCUACAACUAGCACUCCAAGAUCCAUGCCUUUGGGCUCCAUCUAUACCAUGGAAACAAAGCCCAAACUUUCAACAAAAUGAAAAAUGCAAAUCCAAAAGGUAUACUUUUAAGAUGACAACUACAUCGGAGGGUUUCAUGUGCACAAUGACAACAUGACAUGGGGGUUUGAACCCCAUGUUUGUGUCAUGCACAUCAACAAUUCCCACACCACAAUUCCUCUCAAGCACUAGCAUCAAGCUCACACAUAAGAAAUCUUUAUCCAACAAGAGAGUAUGCACACCCCCCCACAUAUGGGCAUGUGAUGGUGCAACUCUCAUAAGCAUCACUAGGAUUUUCCUAGUAUUCAUGUCACCAUCAUUAUGCAAACUACCACAACAAACCACACCCUCACAUGCUAACACAAUAGCUAUCUAGUGCUACUCCUCACCUCAAGACAUGUGAUGAGGGGGAGGCACCCACACCCCACUACAUCAAAGCAAGCAAAUAAAACUACAAGAUCCCUUAGCCCACACCAAAGUUCAAGAAUUUGGGGCUAUACAAGAGUAGCUAGUGCCUCUUAUCACCUCAAGGCACACACACUCAAAUGUCAAGGCAUCUCACAUCUCCCAUUUAACAAGGUUAGCUCCACUUCACUAAGGUGCACUCUCCAUAGACAUCCAAGCAUUGCAAGUUCAUACACAAACACAAACUCUUAUGCACAAAACAACCCUUGUGGGUGUGCCACCAUGCACACACCCCAACACCAACCUACACCAAGCCUAAUACAAGCACACACUAUGCAGGAAAGGAGAAAACUAAAGGCCAAGGAAGGGGAAAAAAAUACCACAUGCAAAUAGGGAAGUUUAGCUACCAUCUAGCAAGGAAGGGGAAAAAAUUGACAAGAAAACAAUGUUCAGAGAAAAAGGGGGAGGUGCUGGGGUCGAACCCCAGACCUGCUGGAGUGCAAGCCGCAAUCCUACCACUCUGCUAGGCUCUAGGUACUCGACAAAAAGGGAACCAAACAGAGGAACUACUAUCUGCUCUGCCCUGCUGAUAAAACAGGAAAAAGAAAGCAAAAAGGGGGAUGAUUCUACUGGGAUUCGAACCCUACACCUGAUGAAAGAUCAACACACCUUCUACCACUGUGCUACGACGCAUUGUCUGACAGAGGAGGGAAAUAAUGCAUCCUGACAUGGCCUCGCUUCAGGUCGCUGGACUGCACCUGCGAUCCGGUGACAGGGAGGUCACCGGAGCUGCAUCUCUGUCCCGUCUCUACUACGCCCGCGGGAGAGGGAAAGGGCUCCUGCACGUCUACCCUGUACCGUCCCUCAUCAACCAACUACCCUGCUAUACACCACGCACACACACACUUCCUGACGACCUCUCCUGGGAACAGAGAACCCUCUACUAUGCCUGCUAACUCAUGGGGAAGGGAGGAGGCGGUCGUCACCUAGAACCGGAAGAGGGGGCGCCGAUCUGCAACGGGAGAGUGCCCGAGAGGAAGAAGGGCGUCGGAGUAGCUGAUCCUGAACCGAAGAAACGCUGCAGGGGAAAGAGCACCGGGAGCUUGCCGUAGACGUGGACGGAUCCGGCGGAGCAGCCGGUCCCCGGGGCUCCUAGUGCCGGGAAUGGAUCGCGGGGAUCCACCCCGAGCUCCUGGACAUGGUGACGGCGGCGAUCUGCAACGGGAGCGAGGCGUCCGCCGGCGAGGAGCUGCACCACUUGGUCUACCCCUACAGGAACCCUCCUGUAGACGGGAGGAGAGAUGGGAAAGAGGAGAAGAGGUGGCGGCGGCGGACUGGGGAGAAGAGGAACCCUAGGAGGAGAGGGGAGGCACGGGCGCCCGGCUUAUAAGGGUCCCCCUCGACGUUGGCGCCCUCACGGCGUCAACAGGAGCACCCUCAAACUGACGGGAAAACUGCAGGGAAAGCCACGGCGUCAACAGGAGGAAGGAGCUGCGGUACUGGGCCUCUACUCGCGAGGGAGGGAGUAGAUGGGCCACAUCUUGCGCGGGAAGCAGCCCAACUCGGCGAGAUAUAAGGAAUAAACUCCUCCCUAAGCAGUUUCCUUUUAACAGGAAAACAAGAGAAGAAAGAAAUGCCCAAGGUUAUAAACACAAGACAAAAAAAAAA
This 2439-nucleotide long non-coding RNA is filed under the name Hordeum vulgare. Its description in RNAcentral is "long non-coding RNA (HVUL_LNC020501)". The record is from RNAcentral. Lineage: Eukaryota; Viridiplantae; Streptophyta; Magnoliopsida; Poales; Poaceae.